This 253-nucleotide ribosomal RNA is filed under the name uncultured bacterium. RNAcentral describes it as "partial 16S ribosomal RNA". It matches the Rfam family "Bacterial small subunit ribosomal RNA", at positions 524 to 776 of the family's 1533-position model. The record is from RNAcentral.
UACGGGGGGGGCAAGCGUUGUUCGGAAUUACUGGGCGUAAAGGGCUCGUAGGCGGCCAACUAAGUCAGACGUGAAAUCCCCAGGCUCAACCUGGGAACUGCGUCUGAUACUGGAUGGCUUGAAUUCGGGAGAGGGAUGCAGAAUUCCAGGUGUAGCGGUGAAAUGCGUAGAUAUCGAGAGGAACACCUGCGGCGAAGGCGGGUUGCUGGGCUGACACUGACGCUGAUGCGCGAAAGCCAGGGGAGCGAACGGG